Non-coding RNA from Punica granatum (pomegranate), 5025 nucleotides. Lineage: Eukaryota; Viridiplantae; Streptophyta; Magnoliopsida; Myrtales; Lythraceae. The record is from RefSeq and is a predicted model, not a curated record.
UUCCUUCUAUAAUAACUUUGCUUUCCCCAAUUCUCUGCCUCUCCCUCAGUCAACAGAUCAUCUCCUAUCUCUCUCUCUCUCUCUCUCUCUCCCUCCCCCCCUCUGCACGCAAUAGCGACAGGGCAGCCUCCACAACAGCUUCGCCUCAGACACACCGAUGGUGUGAUUCAGUUUCCUCCGCCGCCGAUCCAUCCUUUUUCAACCGCCCCAACGCGUGCUGGAAGAAUUUCAUUUGAGCUAUUGAGAGAUAAGGAUUGAACUCCGAGGCUAUAGACUUGGCAGAUCUUGAGCCAUGACUAUGGUGGAGGACAAAGAGCAGACCAGGGUCAGAUCAGCGGGCUCACUGUCUACUGAUUAUGCUACCAUAGUUCCCAUCAAGAAACGGAGGUUCCCGAUUGUUCGGCCUCCAUCGCCUCCACCGGAUGAGUCAUGUCCAACACUGGAGUCUGAUGAAAAACGAAAGGAGAGCACCUCUGCAUCUCAGGGAUCUGCUGUCUUGAAUAACACUAUGGACGAAGGUAAACUGGAGAGGUCAGCAAUCCCACAGGGAGCAGGUGCUAGUUCGGCAUCUCAACAGGGUGAAGAGGCUUCUGCCAAUCAAAAGAAUCUGGAAUCCUUGUCUGUCAAGCUGGCAUUAGCCAAUGGAGAAAGCGGCUUUGACUGCUCUAAUGGUGCAAGGAAAUCAGAGAGUGAGGGCACUGAUCUCUGCAUGAACCGGUCAAAUUGGGAUUUGAAUACAACAAUGGAUGCCUGGGAAGGCUCUGCUAGUGAUGCUACUUCGAUCAGCACAGAGUCACUUCACGACACAAUUACUGCAACCGGUAACAGAAUUGAUAUCAAACCUCUGGGAGGUCCCUCUGAGAUCUCUCGUGUCAAUACUUUAGGGGAACAGACUGCUGCAGAGCGUCAACUUAGAGAAGCUGGUGCAGCAUCUUCUGCGCCCUCCGCGAACCCACAAACAUAUGAGGACUCUCUUAAAUUGGGUCUCCACAUAUCAUUUCCAUCAAACUUAAGUCGAGGGUCACCGUAUUUAUCUCCUGUUACUGAUCCGAACACAAUCUUUUCAAGACUCUUAUUAGCCAGCAGCUCAUGCAGUGUAGCUCCUGUGACUGUGAAAUCAGAACCACUUGAAGAGGCUCCAAAACAGGCUUCUCUGGGCGCUGGAUUGGGUAAUUCGAGAUCCUUAGGUGGACAAGUGGUGAAGCAUGAAACUGUCAAUAAGGGUGGGCACGAGAUUUCCCAGAAAUCAGAUUAUAGCACUUUGGGGUUGUUUAAUUCUAGAUCUGUAUCUGUGAAGCCUGAGCCAGCUUGUGAGGGAUUGCCAACAACACUAAAGACAAAUGAAGAAACAUCGCACAGAUUGGGGCAGAUAUCACUAGGUAUGCAAAAUGAUUCCUGCACCAAGGUAACAGAGUCUGUGCCAAUAAAUUGUCUCUUGGCGAAUAAUUCAAUCAGCAAUCGCCCUGAAGAUGGUUGUCUUGAUAGUGACCUGCCUGUGACUCAAAAAGCAUCUGAAAAUGUUGAGAAGAUUGCUACAGGAAUUACAGAAGCAAAUGAAGCCGCCAAGCACGACAAUGUGGAGAAAUCUGAAGCAAAAUUGAUGAAUGAACUUCAUUCCAGUUCAAAGGUUGAUGUCAAAGACUGUGCCAUUGAUAAAGAAAAGUUAGAUGUGUCAGCCAGUGUUAUGGAAGAUCAUUCUGAUUAUGGAUACGAGUCAAUUGGUAAUCACCCUUCAACUGCAGGCGCAGAAAAAGAAAUUGUUGAUAGAGAAGAAAAUGAGUAUGAAGAUGGGGAGGUCCAGGAUCAACUUGUGGCUGAUGGACAUGCUGAACCUAUGAAUGCAACUCCAGUGGAAAAUGUUAAUAAGGCUGAAGGUGAGCCUGAUAAUAUGGAAUUUGCAGGGAAUUCCAGUUAUCAAUGUGCAGAUUCUUCAUCUCAGAAGAAAGAAGACACUGAAAUGCAGCACCUUAGUGAGAUGGAGGAUACUCUUCUUGAUGAUAAGGGCCAAGUGACCGCUGGUUUAGAGACGCAUCUGGAAGAUUUGUCUGACUUUGAAUUAGACUCUGACACCACUGGAUUGGCAACUGUUGCUCAGGAAACAAUUGUCCCGCCUGCUGAUGAAAAUCUAAUUAAAGACCCGAACAUUGCAAGCUUUUCUGAUGAAGCUACACUCCCUGGGCAUGAGCUUUCUGGGGCUUUUGCUCAUGACAUGGAUGCUGAUAAGACUGAGAAUAAUGUGUCUAAUGCUGAUGCUGAAAAGAAUGAUUCAAUUUUGCCCAAGGCUGAAUCAUCUGUAAAUAGCGAUGCUGUAGGUAGAGAUUCUAACACAGAGAGUAAUAGGAGCCGGAUUAUAAACUUAUCUACCACUUUUAAUGUGUCGUCUCCAGGUAAAACAAGUUCUGCUUCUGAUAGGUCUAUGCCCUUGCAUGAUGGAAGAAAGAGAUUGCCUAAUGUUGCACUUGAAGGAGAUAAGAUGCAUCUUCGAGGGAGGGAUGAAGUUGGUAAUGCUGAUUUCCAUAGAUUUUCCAGAGAGAGGAAUCGAGACAUGUUCUCUCGGAAUCCUAGAUCAGGAUUUGCACGCGAUAGAGGAAGGGUUCCAAGUAACAUGUGUGCUGACUGGGAAUCUGAGCAGGAUUUUGGUUCAGAAAUGCAUGAUGGACCAGUGGAGUUCCGUGCUACCCGAUACAGAUAUAAUUCAGAGUACAGGAACUAUAAUGUUGCACCUGAGGAUGGCUUUGUUGGUACUGGGUGGGGUGGGCGUAAACUAUUGAAUGACAACUCACCGAACUUUCACGGUCCGCACUCUAUGAGACGGGCACAUGGAGGUAGAGAUGGCCCUGCAACACGUGGACCACAUAUGGUGGGUAGAGUACCGCGGAAUAUGAGCCCAAGUAGAUGCCUUGGCAUGGAUGAUACUGAAUUGGUCGGAGUAAGGCAUGGUUUUGUUCGGCGGGAGAGGAAUAUCGGGUCAUUCAGUGGAAAGGGUCUUCAUCGCAUUCAUUCGAAGUCUCCUGUAAGAUUAAGAAGUCGUUCUCCUGUACAGUGGUCUCCUAGGAGGAGAUCACCUGAAGGAUUUGUUCGCCACCCAGAAAUGGCGCCUAGAAGGUCUCCUCCAAUUUAUAGGAGAGAAAGAAUGGGAUCACCAGAUCGCUCUUGCUUCCGUGGUGAGGUGAUGAUGAGGCGACCAAAUUCUCCACCUUAUAUAUCUCGUCCAUUAGAUGAUAUGAGGGAGAUGAACUCUGGAAGAGACCAUGGCUUUUCUAGGCCAAUGAUGCACUCUGGAAACUCAUCUAGUCGGGUUUCACUCAGAACUCGGAGAUAUGAUAUGGUGAAUUCUCGAGAAAGAGCUCAUGGAGAGUACUUUAGGGUUCCCAUGCGUGGUGCGCGGUUCCAUGAACUCUCUGGAGAUGAAAACACUGAUGAGAGAAGACGGCUGAACGAGAAACGAGGACCUGUUAGGCACUUUAGGCCUCCUUGUGGUUCCGACAAUAAAGGCUUUACUUACAAUAGUGACGAUAGCUCUCGGACAUAUCGGCUUUGCCCAGAAGAUGAUUCAGUCUAUCAUGAAGGCAGAAACUCAAGGGAGAGACAGUUGGAGAGGCAUCCGAAAAAUGAACCUGGGGAUGCUCAUAAAACAAGAAAAAUCGAGGAUCAAGAAGGGAGCUUCAGACAUGGAGUGAGUGAAGAGUUCGAUGACAUGCCAAGAUACAAAAGAGAGAGGUUCUGAUCAUGUUUCUUGCGAGCUUAAUAUUGAAGAUGGCCUGUUUUAGUGAGGUGUACAGAAAAUUAAGAGCCUUUGCAUUUCUUUUAGAAGAUUGAUAUCUUUACUUAGUGGUGUAAGUUACUGAAGAAAGCGGGUCUAUAUACUGCUCAACUGCAGAUCUUUAGGUCCAGACAUUGAAUGAUUUCUGUUGCAACUUCUCUGAUGAGAUGGGACUGUGGAAAUACAUGAAGGGUCAUUUUAUAAGAAGCUAGACACCUGUUAAAGCAUUUCAUGUCGUCAAUUUGACGGAGCAUGUACUUUAUUGAACCGGACGGGAAAUAUGGAGCAGAAGACUAACAGUAAUAAGUAAGUGCCUUGGCUAGUAUUUGGCUAUUUUCUUGUUACCAUGAAAACUCGAGAUCGAGAUUGGUCCAAUGUAAAGACGAUGCAAAACAUGUAUACAGCUAUGAAAGAGUAUCGUGGAUUGCUUCUUUGGACUCCCCUGUGUUUUAUCAACCCGGAUGUGACUCCGAUGACCUUUGCCAUAAUGAUGCCCCUCGCUUUUGGAAGAUGUGCUGACUCUCUCGAAGAGUUGCUUCUUGCAAGCUGAAGAUAUGAAUGUUUAGAACCCUGCGGAGACGCUCUAGUGCUAGGCAGGAAGUGCUUUUGGUCUCACUGCUUUUACUGGUCCUGCCACUCAUUGUUGAACAGCUUAUCUGCUUCAGGUGUAUUCUGCUUCGAGGAAUUGGCUGAUGUUUAUUCUGCUUGAUCUGCAAUUUUCUAAUGGGCACCUCUGCGGAGUUGUUUCAUUUCCUCCUGCUGUUAUAGUUCCAAGUACUGAAGUAACUGAACUAUGGUCGGCCUUACAGUUGCUUGGAGGCUCUUGUACAUCCAUUUACUGCGGAUCAUCUGGGAUUGUCAUUAACCAGUCCUUGACUCGAGUAUUCGAAGCUCCAAUGAUCUAUGAUUGUCAUCUCCUUGACAUGUCUGACUUUGGAUAGUACCCCUUAACCUACCUGGCUGGGUCAUCCUUGGAUCUUCCUAGGAGCAAUCUGCAGUUUUAAGUUAAAAAGUAUAGAGCAGUAGAUGAACGUGGAGUUCGACAUUGUCGGAAUGUGCUUGGUGAAAGGAUGAGGCGUAGUCCUUGGCAAGGACACAAAAUGAUUUAUUUCCCUUUGUCAUCUGAUGACACUUUUGCCAAGGUUUCAGUUCAGAGACCCCGAGGGGACCUCUCAUUAGUAUAAUAUACUUCUGCACUGUUAAGUGGCCUAAAUUUUGGAGGGCCAAUAUACCAAUAAAAAACAAUGCCAUUUCAAUCUGCA